AGGAGGCCUGGAGUAAAUAUAUGCCUUCACGGUAUUCAGGUUCUAAUUCGUCUUUUUAUAUGGAUGGGCUUACUUGUGCUUAUGGCAGUGAUUCCUCAGAGGAUGAUAGUAUAAUGCAAGUUCUUUCUUUGCUUAAUUGGUCUUAUUUUCCUAAAUCCAGCCGUCUCCGAAUUACAUACAGUGAUCUAUCGAUAACCCACAGUGCAUUUGUUUUAUUUUCGAUGUACCUUCGAGAGGAAGACGAGACGAGCCAAUGAUGACAGUAGCAUCCAUGAGUUCGCCAAAGACCAUAGGCUUGGCGUGUUUGGGCGUGGCCUGAAUACCGGCAACCUGCUAUAAAAUCUCUACCCCCUCUCCUCUACGGCCCUCCUAGAAAUGGAUGCCGCCGUUCCAGCCGGACCUGCAUCACUGCAACAAUUUACAACAAAAUGUUGUCUUGCUAUUGCUUGGAAUGGCGUUGUCGCACGUCUCCCCGCCGGCUGGGCAUGCGAGAUGCGAUGGCCCUUGCAUCCAGCGACAAUUGGCUACGGCGGCGCGACACUCGCACGUGUGUGCACGCCUUCAGCCACCAAAGCAUGCUCGCCACGGACGCCAGCGCCAUGAGCCCAUGAUAGCCCGCUCCCCAUCACAAAGGAGCGCACAACGCAGCCUGGGAGCAGGUGCCCAGCCUCGGCGACGCUGAGUCCCGUCUACUCGCCUCUCCUCUUCAACACCACCAUUCCUCUCCAGGUCGGAGCUCAAAGAUAGGAGAAAGGAGAUAAGGACGAAGCAGUACCAGAGGGUUCGCAAGACAAAAGAUGAUAG
This is a long non-coding RNA of Lolium rigidum, 804 nucleotides long. RefSeq lists it as uncharacterized. The record is from RefSeq and is a predicted model, not a curated record. NCBI's taxonomy places the organism in Eukaryota, Viridiplantae, Streptophyta, Magnoliopsida, Poales, Poaceae. The transcript is spliced from 4 exons.